This 250-nucleotide ribosomal RNA is filed under the name uncultured bacterium. RNAcentral's name for it is "partial 16S ribosomal RNA". It matches the Rfam family "Bacterial small subunit ribosomal RNA", at positions 524 to 772 of the family's 1533-position model. The record is from RNAcentral.
UACGUAGGGUGCGAGCGUUGUCCGGAAUUAUUGGGCGUAAAGGGCUCGUAGGCGGUUUGUCGCGUCGGGAGUGAAAACCAUGGGCUUAACUCAUGGCUUGCUUCCGAUACGGGCAGACUAGAGGUAUGCAGGGGAGAACGGAAUUCCUGGUGUAGCGGUGAAAUGCGCAGGAUAUCAGGAGGAACACCGGUGGCGAAGGCGGUUCUCUGGGCAUUACCUGACGCUGAGGAGCGAAAGUGUGGGGAGGCGA